GGGACGCGCACGUUGAGGUCGCUCCUUGUGGGGGUGGGGCUUAACGACUCGCGCGGACUGGCGGCUCGUUAGGGUUCGUGGAACCCGCGUGGAAACUCCUAAGCCGGUAUUUGAAACGUAAACUCACCGGCUACGAUGGAAAUACCGGUACCUGGAAACCUAACCUUUUCAAAGCCACCUUUCCCGCUGUCACUUCUGUGCGUCGGGGCUACCACAAUCGUCCCCAUGGACCCUACCUACAUGGUGUGGCUGCCCAGAGUGCCUCUUGUACCCCUGGGCUGGCUGAACGGACCGUAUCUCAUCAGUCCUCUUAGGGGGACUGCCCAAUGCGGUGUUGGGAAAAGGAGAAACAGGACGGUGGACAGGCCCAAUGCUGCAUGGUACAGUUGGGAAAGUUAGGCAGGCAGGGAGGAGGCAAAGCAAAAAAUCCAUGGAACAACUUCCUGGAGCAUCAAUCCUACUGCCAGUUCUGGAAGAAAUGAAGUUAAGUAAUUUCCAAGCAGUAUCUCCCCUCCCUGACAAACACGGAGGAAGAGACAGAAGAACAGGAGGGAAAAAGUGCCCCAGGACAACAGUCUGGUCUUUGAAGAUUCAUCCAGGUUGGGACAAAGGGCCAGCCACUCCUCUUAUCUCCCUGGUGGCUCCCAGCCAUCCUUUGAGCUCACCAGCCUUUUGGAUUCAUUGCCUUUGAAUGCUGUGGAAGCGCAGGUACACCCUGAGUCCCAUGCACAGCACCUCAGCAGUCAGCACCUGCUCUCCGCCCUUGCUUGCAGUCCUGGCUUCCCUGCGCACUCGCGUAAGCUCCUUGUACCACUCCCAUCCCCACAGCUGUCGCCUCAGCCCUGGCUCGGCCCCCACACCUGUCGCUGGGCUCUGUGGAACUCUGGAUCUUCUGGCUCCCUCUUUAAAAGCAGUCUUUGGUUAUAUCCCUGCCUCGCCUAUCCACCGUGUGAGCUUUCGCUGGCUUCACUGUGUUUUAAGGGCCACACCAGUUCUUUCCGGGCAGCCCGAAACACGGGUAUCUGUCUGAAUAGGGUGUUGAAAAAGCUCCCAACAACCCCCUGUCAGCCAGAGGGGGAGGUUGGGGUCCCAUUACCGGGCCACCCGGCACUGAGGGAGUUUUCAUUAUAGGAUAAACCCUGAGGGCCGCUGGGUCUGUAUGGGGUUCUACCACUGCUGCUGAUGCUGUGGGUGGAGGAGGCCCCAGGGGUUUGUCGGGGACUCUGCUGGGGACUGGGGUGGUCCUUGUCUCCAGGCCUGGUGCCGCCAGCUUUCUGAGUUAUAGAAAUACCACAGAGGUGAGAAUGACAGUCUCCCCAAAACCACACUUCUUUGCCUUGGCAGAGACCCUAGGUCGAAGCAUGCAAGAUGGGGGAGGACAGCAGCUGCUGAUGAAAUCAGCUGAAGGCAGGGGCUUCACAGCUGUGGUCCACUCCUUCCCCUUGGGGCUCUUGUAGCCUAGAAUCAAGUAGUUGGCCAUCACGUCAUCGCAUCCAUUCCAGCCCACUGGCAGGUCCUGGAUCUGGUCCCACCUGGAGCCCAGGGAUAAUGUCACCUCAGUUAUGCCAGGGGUCCUUGUAGUCAGGGAGUGGCUCAAUGUAAGGCUUUAGUUCCUCUUCAUGGACCAUGUUCAUCCAUGGGUCCUUCAUGGUUUCCUCUAAAGUGCUUCUCUCACUGGGACUGAGGGUCAGGAAUUUCUUUAGUAGGUUUUCACACUCCACAGGCACAUAAAGGGGAAUGUGGCCUGCAUGCAGUACCCACUCCCACAGCUCCUUGAAGUGCUGUAAAGGCAGGGACCUGCCAGUCGCCAGAUAGUCAUUGUAUAGAGAAUGGCUCCAGGCUCCGCACGGCCCCCACAGGGCUGUUGUAUUUUGGCAUAAGGGGGACUACCACAGAAGGUGUUCAGCUCAUGGGCGACAGCAAACUCAUUGCUGAAGCCAAAGUCUGCAACCUUGAUGUUCAGGUCAGCUUCCAAAAGCAGGUUCUCUGGCUUUAGGUCCCUGUGGACGAUACCUUCCUGGUGAUGGUACGACACAGUGGACACUAUCUGGCAGAAUCUGCCUUCAGGGCUCCUCCUCUCUCAUGCAGGCAUGGUCCAGUGUGGGGGGGAUCAAGUGCCUAUGGCGUACUCCGUGACCGGGUUGAGUGUUUCCGAGGUGUCAGUCACCUCGUGUGGUGUCAUGACUCAGGGCCUUCGUGCUCUGGACUUCAAGGAAUAGUCUGUGGAGGCCGAAGGAGCUCUGCGCACUCUUGUUAAUGACCUUCAUGGACACUUCUGUCCCACUCAGGUUGUGCCAGACCAACCUCACUUUGUCAAAGCCGCCCUGGCUGAAGGUCUGGAGGACCCGGUAAUUGUCAAUGCGGGUCUCCUGGUCGCCCGGAUGGCUGUGAGGUCCCUCCGCUCAGUGACUUACUGCUAGCAAUACUAACUAGAAAUGCCCUCUAACAGUACUAACAUACCACAUCAAGAUGAGGAAAAAAAAAAAAAAAAGAACCAAAAGAGAAAGAGAACAAAGGGGAAAAUCUAACUGUGGUCAAAAGUCCCUCAGCUCACCAAACACUGGCUCCCUGACCUAAAAAAACUAAAAAACAUAAGCCUGGCCAAGACCUUAUACAGGGAGGUACUUAGGAUUCUCUCCUGAUGACUUUUCUUGAAGUCAAGAAAUGGACCUAUUAAAACUAGGGAUAAUUCACAAUGGUUCUCUCAUUUGGGUCUCAGGAACCCUUUACUCUUUAUUAAGGGGGAGGGGAACACCCCCAAAGGCCUCUUUGUUUAUGUGGCCUAUAGUGAUUGGUAUUUACCAUACUAAAAAUUAAAACCCAUAGGAUGCUUUGGUGGCCUUUUCACGUCUAGUUUGGAAAUCCGCCAUGAUUUUUGGUGUUUAAAGAAAGCCAUGAUGUCCAUACUUAAAAGAAUUCGUUUUUUUUUUUUCUUGAAACUCUGGCUGAUCAGUGUCAAAAUAAUACCACAAUUUAACUGGUUUCACAAAAGCUAUGGGCAAGGACUCUCCUUAAUUAAACUUCAGUCAUUCUUCUCUAGGCCUGAACCCUGUAGUCUGUCUUUGGCUAUCCUAUACCACCCAACUGUAGCAAGAAUCUUGCCAAAUCAGUUUAGAGAAAACUCCCUGCCCUCAAUAUCUGAUAAUUCUUCAUCUCUCCCCUUUGGUAUCUGUGAGAAAAUAGAACGCAUAUAUUGGUUUCUGGCCUCACCUCCCCACUGCCCCCAGUUCUGGGCACAGGCUGCUGAAACCCUUACAGUUUCCAAGCAUUCAGAGCAUUAGGAGCAUCUCUUGUUCAGUAUUUCAUCUUCAACCCCAGGUCCUGACACAGGUCUCCUAAAUCCCUUGGAAUUUCCUGGGUGGUAGGAAUGUCUUGUUCUUGGUAGGAAUGUCUUGUUCUAAUGAGGCAACUCUGGGUGGGCUCCUGGAUGACCCCUGGAUAGAGACUGUCAUCAGAAAGUCCAAGUCAUGAUUAGAUCUUGGGACGUGCAGCUCCACACCACUACCCCUUCGCCCCCCCCGCCCUGUCCUCAAGGGAGGGGAAAGGGGCCAGAAAUGGAGCUAUUGAUCUACAUGAGGAAGCGUCCAUAAAAAUCCCAAUAGUAUGGGUUCAGAGAGUUUCCACGUGGAUGAACACAUCCACAUUGGCAGGGUGAUGCACCCCACCUCCUGUGCUCAGGACCCUCCCAGACCUCACCCAGUGCAUCUCUUCCUCUAACUAUUCACAUAUCCUUUAUCGCAUCCUUUAAUAAAAUGGUGCUCUGUGAGCCACUGGAGCAAAUGAAUUGAACCUAAGGAAGGGGUUAUUGGAACUUCCCCCUUCCCCUCUAGAGCUGACCAGUCAGAAGCACAGGUGAUAACCUGAACUUGGCAUCUGAAGUUGGGGGGGGAGUGGCCAGGGAAGCUGCUGUGUGGGACUGAACCCUUAACCUGUUGAACCUGAUGCUGUCUCUGGACAGAUGAUGUCAGACUUGAGUUGAACUGUAGGACACCCCAGCUGGUGUCAUGGAGGAUUGCUUCAUGCAGGGGGAAAAAAACACGCAUUUGGUGACCAGAAGUGGUGUUUCGUGUGAGUAGUAAGGGAGACUCGCAGGAGAAAGACUCACGGAUUAAAGGACUGUGGGUUUUCUCUGGUGCAGCAUCUGACCGCCCUAACCUGCCUUUGGCAAGAAUCCUGUCAGGUCUGUUUAACUAGCAUCUUUCUCUUCCUGAGGUUUCCUCUUAGCAAUUUUCCAUCCCCUCACCCUGACCCUAUUUGUUGGCUCUAAAUCCCCAUUUCAUGCUGUCCUGGAGAUGGGGCCCAGUUCUACACUGAGGCCUCUUUUUCCCCUAUUGCAAUAUUCAGUUUCUGGAAUAAAACCUGCUUUUACUGCUUUAACUACUAGUGUCCAGCUCUGGUUCUUCUUUUUUCUUACAAAUUGUUUUUUCUUUAACACUGUAGGGCAUUAUUCUGUUGUGUAAGACACAAUAAGGUACAUUACCAACUUUGGUAAAGCUGAAGGGAAGAUAGCGUUCAUCAUGUUUUUGUUUCUUAUUUCCAAAUUUUGCCCAAGUCUUUGGAGUAGAUUUCACCCUUCCAUGAGCUUGCUGUGAGAACUUAUGUCCAUUACAUGUCUUUAAGUGUAGUGUUUGCAGCUAAGGGGCAUAAAAGCAAGUCUUCUUUAUUUUUUUUUUUAAGCCCACAGAGCCACAUGCUCCAUGUCUGUGUCCUUCAGCACAGGCCUGGGGAUCCAGGUGUGGGCUUGGCACCAAAAUGUGAGGGGUGGGAGAAGCCCAUUUAUUAGCCCAUCUAAUGCUCUUCCUUUCUUCAUGUAUAUCAGAGUUUCUUACCUGUAUCAUUUUCCUUCUCUCUGAAGAACGUCUUUUAAAAUUUCUUGACAGGCAGAUCUACUGGUUAUAUAAUCCCUCAAUUUUUGUUUGUCUGAGAAAGUAUUUUUCCUGCAUUUUUUUGGAAAGAUAUUUUGCUGAACACAAGUCUAGGUUGGCAGGUUUCUGCAGAGAAGUCUAGUGAAAAUCUUUUCUUUGUUUUUCUAUAAAUAAGAUGUAUAUUCCCCCCACCUGCCUUCUUACAAUUCAGGAUCUUCUCUGUGUCUUUGAUUUUUCUGCAGUUUGAAUAUGAUUCACCAAAAUGUAGACUUUUUUUGGUAUUUUGUCUGCUUAAUAUUCUUUGAGCUUCCUCAUUGUAGUUUGGUGUCUUUGUUAAUUUUGGAAAAUUCUCGCCCAUUAUUACUUCAUAUAUUCCUUCUUUCUUGUCCUUUUGUAUUCCCAUUACAAGUAUGAUAACACUUUUACUAUUUUUUUAAGAUUUUAUUUAUUUAUUUGACAGACAGAGAUCACAAGU
Long non-coding RNA from Mustela erminea (ermine), 5340 nucleotides. RefSeq lists it as uncharacterized. The transcript is spliced from 3 exons. Lineage: Eukaryota; Metazoa; Chordata; Mammalia; Carnivora; Mustelidae. The record is from RefSeq and is a predicted model, not a curated record.